Molecule: ribosomal RNA, 253 nt
Filed under: uncultured bacterium
Lineage: Bacteria
Description: partial 16S ribosomal RNA
Rfam family: Bacterial small subunit ribosomal RNA
Source: RNAcentral
UACGAAGGGUGCAAGCGUUACUCGGAAUUACUGGGCGUAAAGCGUGCGUAGGUGGUGAGUUAAGUCUGUCGUGAAAUCCCCGGGCUCAACCUGGGAAUGGCAAUGGAUACUGGACAGCUAGAGUGCGGUAGAGGGGUGUGGAAUUCCCGGUGUAGCGGUGAAAUGCGUAGAGAUCGGGAGGAACACCAGUGGCGAAGGCGGCACCCUGGACCAGCACUGACACUGAGGCACGAAAGCGUGGGGAGCAAACAGG